Molecule: ribosomal RNA, 411 nt
Filed under: uncultured Methanomicrobiales archaeon
Lineage: Archaea; Methanobacteriati; Methanobacteriota; Methanomicrobia; Methanomicrobiales
Description: bacterial SSU rRNA
Rfam family: Archaeal small subunit ribosomal RNA
Source: RNAcentral
UCACCAGAUAAGACAGCUGAAUGAUAGUCGGGCUGAAGACUCUACUUGACUAGCUGAGAGGAGGUGCAUGGCCGUCGUCAGUUCGUACUGUGAAGCAUCCUGUUAAGUCAGGCAACGAGCGAGACCCACGCCAACAGUUGCCAGCUCGUCCUCCGGGAUGUGGGGACACUGUUGGGACCGCCUCUGCUAAAGAGAGGAAGGAAUGGGGCAACGGUAGGUCAGCAUGCCCCGAAUUAUCUGGGCUACACGCGGGCUACAAUGGGUGGGACAAUGGGUAUCGACACCGAAAGGUGAAGGCAAUCUCCUAAACCCAUCCGUAGUUCGGAUUGUGGGCUGCAACUCGCCCACAUGAAGCUGGAAUCUGUAGUAAUCGUGUCUCAAAAUGGCACGGUGAAUAUGUCCCUGCUCCUU